UGGGGAAUCUUGCACAAUGGGCGAAAGCCUGAUGCAGCAACGCCGCGUGGGGGAUGACUGCCCUCGGGUUGUAAACCCCUUUCAGCAGGGACGAAACUGACGGUACCUGCAGAAGAAGCCCCGGCCAACUACGUGCCAGCAGCCGCGGUAAGACGUAGGGGGCAAGCGUUGUCCGGAUUUAUUGGGCGUAAAGAGCUCGUAGGCGGCUUGGCAAGUCGGAUGUGAAACCUCCAGGCUUAACCUGGAGACGCCAUUCGAUACUGCUAUGGCUUGAGUUCGGUAGGGGCGCAUGGAAUACCCGGUGUAGCGGUGAAAUGCUUAGAUAUCGGGUGGAACACCAGUGGCGAAGGCGGUGCGCUGGGCCGAAACUGACGCUGAGGAGCGAAAGCGUGGGUAGCAAA
This 401-nucleotide ribosomal RNA is filed under the name uncultured bacterium. RNAcentral's name for it is "bacterial SSU rRNA". It matches the Rfam family "Bacterial small subunit ribosomal RNA", at positions 355 to 772 of the family's 1533-position model. The record is from RNAcentral.